UACGGGGGGGGCGAGCGUUGUUCGGAAUCACUGGGCGUAAAGGGCGCGUAGGCGGCCCGCACAAGUCUGCGGUGAAAACCCCCGGCUUAACCGGGGGCCGGCCGUGGAAACUGUCGGGCUGGAGGACGGGAGAGGGCGGCGGAAUUCCCGGUGUAGCGGUGAAAUGCGUAGAGAUCGGGAGGAACACCGGCGGCGAAGGCGGCCGCCUGGACCGGCCCUGACGCUGAGGCGCGAAAGCUAGGGGAGCAAACAGG
Molecule: ribosomal RNA, 254 nt
Filed under: uncultured bacterium
Lineage: Bacteria
Description: partial 16S ribosomal RNA
Rfam family: Bacterial small subunit ribosomal RNA
Source: RNAcentral